UGCUAUACAUGCAGUCGAGCGAACAGACGAGGAGCUUGCUCCUCUGACGUUAGCGUGCGGACGGGUGAGUAACACGUGGAUAACCUACCUAUAAGACUGGGAUAACUUCGGGAAACCGGACUAAUACCGGAUAACAUGUUGAACCGCAUGGUUCAACAGUGAAAGACGGUCUUGCUGUCACUUAUAGAUGGGAUCCGCGCCGCAUUAGCUAGUUGGCUAAGGUAACGGCUUACCAAGGGCAACGAUGCGUAGCCGACCUGAGAGGGUGAUCGGCCACACUGGAACUGAGACACGGUCCUUAGACUCCUACGGGAGGCAGCAGUCAGGGAAUCUUCCGCAAUGGGCGAAAGCCUGACGGAGCAACGCCGCGUGAGUGAAGAAGGUCUUCGGAUCGUAAAACUCUGUUAUUAGGGAAGAACAA
This 421-nucleotide ribosomal RNA is filed under the name Staphylococcus capitis. RNAcentral describes it as "bacterial SSU rRNA". It matches the Rfam family "Bacterial small subunit ribosomal RNA", at positions 45 to 452 of the family's 1533-position model. Lineage: Bacteria; Bacillati; Bacillota; Bacilli; Caryophanales; Staphylococcaceae. The record is from RNAcentral.